Molecule: ribosomal RNA, 253 nt
Filed under: uncultured bacterium
Lineage: Bacteria
Description: partial 16S ribosomal RNA
Rfam family: Bacterial small subunit ribosomal RNA
Source: RNAcentral
UACGUAGGGUGCAAGCGUUGUCCGGAUUCAUUGGGCGUAAAGCGCGCGCAGGCGGAUGCACGCGUCCCGCGUGAAAUCGCCCGGCUCAACCGGGCGGGGUCGCGGGAUACGGUGCGUCUGGAGCACGGGAGGGGGCAGUGGAAUUCCCGGUGUAGUGGUGGAAUGCGUAGAGAUCGGGAGGAACACCAGUGGCGAAGGCGACUGCCUGGACCGUGGCUGACGCUGAGGCGCGAAGGCGUGGGGAGCAAACGGG